UUUAAUACAUCAGGCUGACCCCAUCUAGCCACACAAACACUACAUCCCACAUGAGAAAGACAACAGAUGGAGAAUUCAGGGGAGAUGAAGACUUCUUUCCUGGGUUCCAGCUUAUUCUUCAGACUCUUUUGCCUAAAGCUUGUUGACCUGGGACUCUGCGAUGUCAGCACGCUCCUGAGCCUCCUCCAUCUCAUGCUGCACCUUCCUGUAUCUGGUGAGGUGAGCGUU
This is a long non-coding RNA of Xiphophorus maculatus (southern platyfish), 228 nucleotides long. RefSeq lists it as uncharacterized. Lineage: Eukaryota; Metazoa; Chordata; Actinopteri; Cyprinodontiformes; Poeciliidae. The record is from RefSeq and is a predicted model, not a curated record. The transcript is spliced from 3 exons.